UGUUGGCACGAAAUCAGUGCUCCAAAAUUAUUAACGAGACCAGCUCUCUUUUGCCCACUCCACACUGCCUCAUUUGGUUGUGAUAGCUGACAUUGAAAAACACAGCCGAUGUGUCAAGGAGGAUGAUAAAGAGGAGCAGGGGAGGCCUGUGUUGGAUAAAUUUUGGCAGGACACCUUCUCAUCCAGCACCUUCUCUUGAAGUUUUCAACAAAAGGAUUACUCACAGGGGUAGCAUGACGCCAGGUGACUCUCACGCCCAGCCUCCAUACUGUGAGGAAGCCCAGGCAGCCAUGCAGGGGGGCCACCAUGGAGGAGAGUAGUGGCCUCCACCACAUCCAGCACUGACUUGCUGUCCAUGUGAAGGAGCCGUCUUGAAAAUGGAUCCUCUGGUACCAUCAAUCCUCCUCAAUUGUACACUGUGGAGUGGAGAUGAGCCAUUCCGGCUGACCCUUGCUUAAAUUGCAUAGCUGUAAGCAAAUAAUUAUUGUUGUCAUUCUAUGCCCCUAAAUCUCAAGGGGCUUGUCACAUAGCCACAGCUAAUGUAGUAUCUGUGGGGUUCUGUGUCUGUGUUCCCAGAGUCCAUGUGCUCUUUAUAUGGUAAGGAUACUUUUAUUUUCUUGAGAGGAACCAAUCCCAUUCCCACUCUCAGUAUAUAUGCUUUGAAUGGAGUCGACUCCAUCCUUAGCUCCACGGAUGAGCUCAUGAUGCAGCCUGGCCAAAUCAGAGGAAGUGACCACUGAGUUCCGCUCAUUCUGGAACCAGGUGAAUGACCCAAACAAUGAGAUACAAUGACUUCUCUUUCUUUUCAACUGGCUCAAAACCCAAGAAGACACGAGCCUGGAACUGCCAGAGACAUCAGGUACAGGCUGAGGAUGAAGUAAACAAAGCAGAAGGCUGAGCUGAGAGGUGGAGAGAUGCCAAGUGACGUUGUUUCAGUUUGGCACCAACCGUACCAUUGGCUGCCCUUCCUUGGGACUUGUCUGCUAUGUGGACCGUAAGAUUUGGGUUUAUUUCCUUUGCUUGCAUCAGUUUGAGUUGGCAUUUCUGUCACUUGUGGCAGAAUGAGUCCUCAGACAAAGAGGGUCUGAGGGAUCCCUG
Long non-coding RNA from Canis lupus familiaris (dog), 1098 nucleotides. RefSeq lists it as uncharacterized. NCBI's taxonomy places the organism in Eukaryota, Metazoa, Chordata, Mammalia, Carnivora, Canidae. The transcript has 3 exons. The record is from RefSeq and is a predicted model, not a curated record.